GGGGAUUUAGCUUAGCGGCAUAAGCGCCUGCCUUGAAGGCAGGCAGUCAUGAGUUCAAUCGCCA
Molecule: transfer RNA, 64 nt
Organism: Cavia porcellus (domestic guinea pig)
Lineage: Eukaryota; Metazoa; Chordata; Mammalia; Rodentia; Caviidae
Rfam family: tRNA
About the family: Transfer RNA (tRNA) molecules are approximately 80 nucleotides in length. Their secondary structure includes four short double-helical elements and three loops (D, anti-codon, and T loops). Further hydrogen bonds mediate the characteristic L-shaped molecular structure. tRNAs have two regions of fundamental functional importance: the anti-codon, which is responsible for specific mRNA codon recognition, and the 3' end, to which the tRNAs corresponding amino acid is attached (by aminoacyl-tRNA synthetases). tRNAs cope with the degeneracy of the genetic code in two manners: having more than one tRNA (with a specific anti-codon) for a particular amino acid; and 'wobble' base-pairing, i.e. permitting non-standard base-pairing at the 3rd anti-codon position.
Source: Rfam